GACGAACGCUGGCGGCGUGCUUAACACAUGCAAGUCGAACGGAAAGGCCCUGCUUUUGUGGGGUGCUCGAGUGGCGAACGGGUGAGUAACACGUGAGUAACCUGCCCUCGACUUUGGGAUAACUUCAGGAAACUGGGGCUAAUACCGGAUAGGAGCUCCUGCUGCAUGGUGGGGGUUGGAAAGUUUCGGCGGUUGGGGAUGGACUCGCGGCUUAUCAGCUUGUUGGUGGGGUAGUGGCUUACCAAGGCUUUGACGGGUAGCCGGCCUGAGAGGGUGGCCGGCCACAUUGGGACUGAGAUACGGCCCAGACUCCUACGGGAGGCAGCAGUGGGGAAUAUUGCACAAUGGGCGGAAGCCUGAUGCAGCAACGCCGCGUGCGGGAUGACGGCCUUCGGGUUGUAAACCGCUUUCGCCUGUGACGAAGCGUGAGUGACGGUAAUGGGUAAAGAAGCACCGGCUAACUACG
Molecule: ribosomal RNA, 466 nt
Filed under: uncultured bacterium
Lineage: Bacteria
Description: partial 16S ribosomal RNA
Rfam family: Bacterial small subunit ribosomal RNA
Source: RNAcentral